Molecule: long non-coding RNA, 537 nt
Organism: Alosa sapidissima (American shad)
Lineage: Eukaryota; Metazoa; Chordata; Actinopteri; Clupeiformes; Clupeidae
Exons: 5
Source: RefSeq, a predicted model, not a curated record
AGACGUGUACUCUUCAGAUCCGAAAGAAUGAAGGAGGCUCUUCACCUCAACGCACGCAACCUACAGCUUCCGUGUUUACCUGCCUGGGAGACCACGAGUGUCUGAGACUCACAGCGGCUGGGAGCGAGGCGAUUGGUCAAGGGGAGGGACUUAUGACGUCUACACCAAUCCGGAGCAGGAUCCACUCCGGCAUUGGCCUCGGCUGGAUUUCCAUGAUCUCCCGAUUGGAUUAUUAGUAGGCUUAUUUGUUUUUCUUUUUUUUUCUGGUCGGCAGGGGAAGCCGACCAGUGGACAUUUCUUCUGUUAUCUGUUUGUCUGUCCGUCCGGAUUCUGCUGCUACCUAAUGCUGGACAGGAAGCACUGUGGGUGAGCUGGACAAGGAGUGUGUCGUAGUGUAACCUGAGUGGUGUGCGGUUUGUGCUUGCAUCACUUUUAUUGGCCCAUGAGUGUGUUGGUUUAUGUGUGAUACAUUUAGUGUGCAACUUGAACUAUUAUUCACUCGGCGGUUAACCUUUUUAAAAUAUGUUUUUGCUAUUU